This 65-nucleotide transfer RNA is filed under the name Mytilus trossulus (common blue mussel). Its description in RNAcentral is "tRNA-Pro". The record is from RNAcentral. Lineage: Eukaryota; Metazoa; Mollusca; Bivalvia; Mytilida; Mytilidae.
CUAGACAUAGUUUAAAACAAAACACUGGCUUUGGGAGCUGAAGACAUCUUAAUAGAUUUUCUAGA